UACGUAGGGUGCGAGCGUUAAUCGGAAUUACUGGGCGUAAAGGGUGCGCAGGCGGUCUCGUAAGCUGGGUGUGAAAGCCCCGGGCUUAACCUGGGAAUGGCAUUCAGGACUGCGAGGCUUUGAGUGCGGCAGAGGGAGGUGGAAUUCCACGUGUAGCAGUGAAAUGCGUAGAUAUGCGGAGGAACACCGAUGGCGAAGGCAAUCCCCUGGGCCUGCACUGACGCUCAUGCACGAAAGCGUGGGGAGCAAACAGG
RNAcentral lists this ribosomal RNA (254 nucleotides) under uncultured bacterium. RNAcentral's name for it is "partial 16S ribosomal RNA". It matches the Rfam family "Bacterial small subunit ribosomal RNA", at positions 524 to 776 of the family's 1533-position model. The record is from RNAcentral.